This 23-nucleotide non-coding RNA is filed under the name Rattus norvegicus (Norway rat). The record is from RNAcentral. Lineage: Eukaryota; Metazoa; Chordata; Mammalia; Rodentia; Muridae.
UAAUUUAAGGGGAUCUGAUGGCC